Molecule: long non-coding RNA, 249 nt
Organism: Lolium rigidum
Lineage: Eukaryota; Viridiplantae; Streptophyta; Magnoliopsida; Poales; Poaceae
Exons: 3
Source: RefSeq, a predicted model, not a curated record
CUGACAAUCUCCACCUGUCUAGCUCAAGGUUCUAUAUAGCAAGAUAGCAGUUAAAUAAAUCUGAGCUUGUUCCUAGAAAGCCAACUCCACUGAAGUCUCCCGUAUCUUUCCAACUGAUGUAGGCCGCCGAGUCAAAGUCAAAUGCUCAAUGUAACGGCUAAUUAGCGUUGAGAAACACCUAUGUGUUGCUGCACCCGUAAUAUUACAUAUACAAGGUUCAAUUCAGUCCAGGUUGUAUCUAUUCUUUUA